GUCGACGGGCUCUUCGGAGCAAGUGGCGGACGGGUGAGUAACGCGUGAGAAUGUGCCUUCAGGAUGGGGAUAACAAUAGGAAACUAAUGCUAAGACCCAAUGUGCCUUAAGUGGUGAAAAAUGAAAAUUGCCUGAAGAGGAGCUCGCGUCUGAUUAGCUAGUUGGGGUGGUAAAAGCGCACCAAGGCAACGAUCAGUAGCUGGUCUGAGAGGAUGAGCAGCCACACUGGGACUGAGACACGGCCCAGACUCCUACGGGAGGCAGCAGUGGGGAAUUUUCCGCAAUGGGCGAAAGCCUGACGGAGCAAUACCGCGUGAGGGAGGAAGGCUCUUGGGUUGUAAACCUCAAAACUUAGGGAAGAAAAAAAUGACGGUACCUAAUUUAAGCAUCGGCUAACUCCGUG
RNAcentral lists this ribosomal RNA (403 nucleotides) under uncultured bacterium. RNAcentral describes it as "bacterial SSU rRNA". It matches the Rfam family "Bacterial small subunit ribosomal RNA", at positions 61 to 507 of the family's 1533-position model. The record is from RNAcentral.